CAUGUCUUUAUGAUUUUGAUUUAAAGUCUGAUCUGCCCAGUGAUUUUUAUUUAACGGCCGCGGUAUUUUGACCGUGCAAAGGUAGCGUGAUAAUUAGUUUCUUAAUUGGAAACUGGUAUGAAUGAUUAGACGAGAGAAUUUCUGUCUCAGUUUAAUUUAAAUUGAAUUUAAUUUUUAAGUUAAAAAGCUUAAAUUUUUUUAAAGGACGAGAAGACCCUAUAGAGUUUUAUUUUAUUUUUAUUUUUAUUUUUUUGGUAAUUGAUAUAAUUAAUAUAAUUAUAAUUUUUGGUUGGGGUGAUUUAAAGAUUAAAUAAACUCUUUAAUUUAUUUAACAAUGAUUUUUGAUUGAUUGAUCCAUUUUUUUUGAUUAUAAGAUUAAAUUACCUUAGGGAUAACAGCGUAAUUUUUUUUAAAGUUCUUAUUGAAUUAAAAGAUUGCGACCUCGAUGUUGGAUUAAAAUUUAAUUUUUGGUGUAGAAGCUGAAGUAUUAAGUCUGUUCGACUUUUAAAAUUUUACAUGAUCUGAGU
This 527-nucleotide ribosomal RNA is filed under the name Nematodes sp. 1 BMNH 703107. Its description in RNAcentral is "partial 16S ribosomal RNA". It matches the Rfam family "Bacterial large subunit ribosomal RNA", at positions 1816 to 2610 of the family's 2925-position model. Lineage: Eukaryota; Metazoa; Arthropoda; Insecta; Coleoptera; Eucnemidae. The record is from RNAcentral.